This is a long non-coding RNA of Musa acuminata AAA Group (dessert banana), 2677 nucleotides long. RefSeq lists it as uncharacterized. The record is from RefSeq and is a predicted model, not a curated record. Lineage: Eukaryota; Viridiplantae; Streptophyta; Magnoliopsida; Zingiberales; Musaceae. The transcript is spliced from 3 exons.
UCUGAACUUUCUUUCACUCGAGGAAAAGGAAGCUCACGAACUGGUUGUUGGUGUUCUCUCAGCAGCAUUGGUUGCUUACAGGAGCCAUGGUGAAAAAGAUUGAUCUUUGUAAGAAUAUAUCAAUCCAUCAGAAACAAGAAGGGCAAGUUUCAGGGAUGGCAACAAGUAUUUGGUCAAUGUACCAUAACAAGUUAGCAUAAGUUUGGCUUACAGUUCCUUCUUCCUGAUCAAGUUUACAGGUUUUGCAGGAUCCACUGUUGUUUCAUCUCCUAAAAAAAAUUACUGCUAAGAUACUUAAUUCAGAACUUCUUACUGAGCCAGUCACAGCAGGCAGCCUCAAAAAGACGACAGGUGAUGCCCGGAAGUUGCCUGAGAUUGUUGCCGAAGCAGGAAAGGAAGCUACAGAAACAUGCAAGAGAUUGUAAUUCUCCAUUAUUGGCUGCUGUUUCUUGAACCUCCACGAUGUGAUCCAUCUGCAACCUUCGCCCUCUUGUUCCUUCAUCACUAGAUCGUUAAUUUGCGAUAUGCUGACCGAACGAACUAUGAAUCUGAAGCUUGGGUAUGUUCUGAGGCAAUGAAGCUAUCAGCAUCUCUAAGCUGGUCGGUCGUGGGAAUUUUGGGAGGACUGUCAAGCCUCUACAUUAGUCCAGCUCUAGUGUCUGCAACGAAGGCAGACAUGGAAUGGUCCUCAGCUCGUCGCAACCUCCGAUUGUAAGUUGACGAAGGCAAGGGAAUCCACCGUCCUCCACAUCAGUCCACUUCUCCAGCUCAGGCAUUGUCCGGAGUUCCAGUGUCUCCAGGCAUGGAAAUGCCUCGAGUGCCAUACUGUUACUGCAACUCGCCAGCUCUCUUCUUGCGCUCCAAUGGAUCAUCUUCCGUGUUCUGAUCCUGCGCAGUGGCUUCUUCUUCACUGGAAUCGCCACAGUCGGCCUUGCUGUAAUCAAUGGAACUGCUAAACCAUUCUAGAGUCAGCUUCUCCAGGUGCGCUUUGCUCACCGAGUUGGCUGCCUUGGCAUCAUCAACACAAACAACAUGCUUCAGUCCUAAUAUACGGAGCUCACCUCUGAGGUUUGCGAGGUUCCCCAGCUCUCUAAUCACAUAAUGUUCUCUGUCUUUGCCGACGUAGAACGGCGACAACGUUUGGAGACUGCUCAGUCUCCCAAUGUUCUCUGACGCGAGCCUCGGCCAGAUUGUACACUAACCAUCACGUGGAGACUGUUGGAGACCAAGGGAGGCUGUGGGCCCAAAUAGUCCAAGAUUUGUGGGCCCAAACAAGGGUUUACUUCGCCUUGAGCGCGAUUCGAACCGCUGUCGCGCCUGUUUCCAUUCGCGGCCUGUUCACCUCUUUCGUCUCGAUCUGUCGAUCCAUCGCCAAAACCCUAGCUAUGACCCUCCGAUCGAAGCCCGAGAUCCUUCUCCCAGAUCGAGCGGCAGUCGCAAACCAUGGGUUCCGAUACUGAUAUGAGGGACGGUGGGUUCGAGUACUCCGACGACGAGCCGGAGGAACAGCAUGUCGAUAUUGAGAACUAGUUCUACGAUUCCGAAGGCGAUCUGGUCUGAUCUUUCGUUUACCAUUUUGCAACGGAACUGCAAAUUAUUCACAUUGUUAUUCUAUAUACUGGUUGGUGUAAAGUUUUCUGUUGUCAUAGAACAGUAGUCACUGAUUCUACACCGAACUGUGGAUACCUCACAUUAUCAUCCCUCACAUUGUUACUUACUUUAAAUGUUACUUAUUUUUUUAUUUCACAUUGUUAUUUACCUUUAAUUGUGGAAUCACUUGCUGAUUUUGCUGAGAUUAGUGUGUAUGGAACCUGAGAAAUCUGAGUGGUGUAACCUUCUCUACUUUCGGAUGACUGCCCUAUAAUAGAAAUAUGCCAUUAGUUUGCUCUUGUAUACGUAUGAAACAUUGGUCAUUUUUAUUGUUUCCUCGAUGAGACAGCAAAGGAGCAUCCACCUAUAAGUAAUUGUAUGACAGCAUUUUUCUCUGUUCAAUAUAUAUAUAGAACACAUGAGGUUACUAGUAAUUGAUAAUUCAAUGUCACAUGUCAUCUCAAUUGUAAAUUGAUGCAUAGAUGCUCUGCAUUAAACCCAUGGCACAGGUUCACAUUUCAUUUUAAGGAAUUUAUAAGAGAUUCAUAAGAAAUAUUUAAAUUGGUUUGGUUACGAGAAACAUAUUUAUUCUAAGAUUUCAAGAAGCAUAUUUGUCCAUCAUCUUUGUUUUCAGAAACAACUUAACACAAAACCAGGGUUGAAUUAUCAUCUUAGUUACCAUUUCCAAAAGAUUUUAUUGCAUUUUUUUGUUUGUAAGAUUUAGAAAAAUGUUGAUAUAUAAUCUGUGUUUGCUAAAGUUAAAAUGAUGAAAGUUGGACGAGUUCUUCGAAUUGGUAGUUUUAAUUUAUUACACCAUGUGGGAAUUUAUGUGAUUUUCUGAUACUAUUUGAUAUUAAACUACUGCUUCUUGGUUGUCAUCCUCAAAAAUAAGUUGUUCUUAAGCCUUGAUUUGUUUUCUUUUUCAUCAUGGAUUAAAAGCUUAAAAACAUGCACUUAAGUUUUUUUUAUAUUGGUUGGGCAAGUAUAUAGAUAUGAUGGCAUAUCGAAAAUCAGCUCUUACUCAUAACUACUGUGAAAAAUGUAUAAAUUACAAUGUGAAUUUUAUUUCAGAUUUUAUAAAUCUGAA